CAAUAGCGUAUAUUAAAGUUGUUGACGGUAAAAAAGCUCGUAGUUGGAUUUCUGUUGAGGACGACCGGUCCGUACCAUGUACGCGCAUCUGGUUCGGCCUCGGCAUCCUCUCGAUAGACGUUUCUGCGCUUGAUUGCGUGGAGCGGAUUUCGGGACUUUUACUUUGAGGAAAUUAGAGUGUUCACGGCAGGCAAUCGCCAGAAUACAUUAGCAUGGAAUAAUACUAUAGGAUCUCGGUUCUAUUUUGUUGGUUUCUAGACCCGGGGGUAAUGAUUAAUAGGGACAAUUGGGGGCGAUUAGUACGUUAACUGUCAGAGGUGAAAUUCUCCGAUUUGUUAAAGACUAACUUAUGCGAAAGCAUUUGCCAAGGAUGUUUUCAUUAAUCUAAGAACGAAAGUUAGGGGAUC
RNAcentral lists this ribosomal RNA (407 nucleotides) under uncultured eukaryote. Its description in RNAcentral is "bacterial SSU rRNA". It matches the Rfam family "Eukaryotic small subunit ribosomal RNA", at positions 592 to 999 of the family's 1831-position model. The record is from RNAcentral.